This is a long non-coding RNA of Hyla sarda, 544 nucleotides long. RefSeq lists it as uncharacterized. The record is from RefSeq and is a predicted model, not a curated record. The transcript is spliced from 3 exons. Lineage: Eukaryota; Metazoa; Chordata; Amphibia; Anura; Hylidae.
UAUGUUUCGGACGCACAAUAAGGCAUAGACAACGUCAGGUCAGAAACUUACCUGACGUGUUAGACGUCAUCCCACGUGACUCAUUCACAUCCGUCGCUCGGAAAGGAGUGCAAGCGCCAUUUUGUUGGUCUGCUGUAGCAGAUUUGGUUACCCAUUGAAGUCAAUAGGCAACAAAAUCUGCAGAAAUAGAUCUGCAGCAGAUAAUAAGAACAGGAUGAUUUUACCAGAUGAAUCUAGUGAAGUUGAGUCUUCUAAAACUUCUCUCAUGAAGGACUGUUCCAAACAUCCAUGUUGCGGGGAGGCUCAUCAAGAAGACCCAUUUAGUUAGUUAUUCUUUAGUUAUUCUUAGAACACUAAGCAACAUUUACACUUAUGUGUAGGCAAGUGGAUGGAACAUAUUAAAGUUAACCACACAAUGACCAUGUUUUAUAAAAGUUGUUUAUUUCAUUUUUUAGUACGAAAGGAGACAUCAAAGAACACAUUCCUGGUCACGUUCAUCUCGUUUUAAUGGCCGCACUGGUCCGAUACUUACCGCAACCUUUUG